Haliotis rubra (blacklip abalone) is the source of this 1477-nucleotide long non-coding RNA. RefSeq lists it as uncharacterized. The transcript is spliced from 2 exons. The record is from RefSeq and is a predicted model, not a curated record. Lineage: Eukaryota; Metazoa; Mollusca; Gastropoda; Lepetellida; Haliotidae.
CUUAUAUGGGUACUAUGGUCUUAUAUGGGUACUAUGGUCUUAUAUGGGUACUAUGGUCUAAGGACAGUGAUAUGGUCUUAUAUGGGUACUAUGGUCUUAUAUGGCUGCUAUGGUCUAAGGACAGUGAUAUGGUCUUAUAUGGGUACUAUGGUCUAAGGCCAGUGAUAUGGUCUUAUAUGGGUACUAUGGUCUUAUAUUGGUACUAUGGUCUAAGGCCAGUGAUAUGGUCUGAUAUGGGUACUAUUGACUUAUGUCGGUAAAUAUGGUCCAACAUCGGGGAUUAUGGUCUGAUGGUGAUUAAAUAGUCGCAUGUGCAUGCUGUGGCCUCAUAUAGGUACUGUGGUCUCAUGUUGGUAACACGGUCGGAUAAUAGUAAUUAGGUACCGUUUCAUUUGUAAUAUAAAAACUGUAGAUCUAAGAUCAGUCAUAUGGUGUAACACGGAUACUUGGUCUAAUAUAUGCAGUAUGGCCUAAUAUGGGUACAUACUGUGGUCUAAUAUAGGUAGUAUGAUCUAAUAUCGGUACUGUGAUCAAAUGUAGGUAAUAUUGUCUAAUGUGGACAGUAUGGUCUUGUGUCGGUAAUACCGACUGUUAUGGGUAAUACGAUCCAAUAUCGGUAAUAUGGUCUAAUAUCUGCACUCCUUCCUCUGACUACGGAUACCACGAUGUAUUUCCGAGUCCCUGAGACUUGGAGUAGUACGGGUGACCAUGUGCGCUAACUCUGUGAUACCUGAACCAUUGUUAGAUAUCGGAUACUACGAGUUCAAACCUGAAGGAAUAUGUACCAAUGAUCUCGCAUGUCGAAGUAUCCCUUUAAGGGAAAGUUUACACACUACUCAAAACUAGGUAAGGAAAACUCAUUUUGGGAGACAGACUAUAUGAAAAAGCAUUUGAGUGUUCUCUAUCUUGUUGCGAGUAGUAUUGAUUCUAAAUACAUAUUUAUGUUAUUCCAUGCAUGUAAAUAACCCGGAACAAGCAGUCCACGCGUAGUUAGCUAAGUUAUACGCCGUUAUAUAAUUGUUACGUGUUAUAUUUGUUGAAUCUGACUAUGGACACAUUUUCACAUCCGGGUACAUUUUCAUAACCGGAUGUGAUGUCAUAGGAGUUUUAAAACAUGAAGUGCCUGAUCGUUUAUUGUCUCCAGCUAAAGUCUUGUCUCUGUUAUUAUUCGAUAGUUAUACUGAUGGCUGAAAAUAAGAGAACGUCGAGAUACAAUUUUUCGCCAUUGCUUGACACUACACGCAGAACACUACAAUAUUUCAGUUGCAAUUAGUCGCUAUGUCACAAUUAUGUUCACAAUGCGACGUCAAAAAUACACUCGUUCACUUAUUUCUUUCCAUGAGUAUACUUCGAAAUGAGAUAGUUGAUUUAUUUUAUUGCAAGACAAGGCUAAACAUUAUAGCUUUGACAGGCAGAUCACAUCUGAAUCAUGAUAAGCGUUCAGAGAUAUUUUGGACAAUAAAUCCGUCUCAACUGA